GAUGAACGCUGGCGGCGUGCCUAAUACAUGCAAGUCGAGCGAACAGACGAGGAGCUUGCUCCUCUGACGUUAGCGGCGGACGGGUGAGUAACACGUGGAUAACCGACCUAUAAGACUGGGAUAACUUCGGGAAACCGGAGCUAAUACCGGAUAAUAUAUUGAACCGCAUGGUUCAAUAGUAAAAGACGGUUUUGCUGUCACUUAUAUAUGUAUCCGCGGCGCAUUAGGUAGUUGGUAAGGUAACGGCUUAGCAAGGCAACGAUGCGUAGCUGACCUGUUAGAGUAAUCGGACACACGGAAACUGAGACACGGUCCAGACUCCUACGGGAGGCAACAGUAGGGAAUCUUCCGCUAUUGGCGAAAGCUUGACGGAGCAACGCCGCGUAAGUGAUGAAGGUCUUGGGAUCGUAAAACUCUGUUAGUAGUGAAGAACAAAUGUGUAAGGAAAUAUGCACGUCUUGACGGUACCUAAUCAGAAAGCCACGGCUAACUACGUG
RNAcentral lists this ribosomal RNA (497 nucleotides) under uncultured bacterium. Its description in RNAcentral is "partial 16S ribosomal RNA". It matches the Rfam family "Bacterial small subunit ribosomal RNA", at positions 28 to 507 of the family's 1533-position model. The record is from RNAcentral.